Molecule: ribosomal RNA, 1286 nt
Filed under: uncultured bacterium
Lineage: Bacteria
Description: bacterial SSU rRNA
Rfam family: Bacterial small subunit ribosomal RNA
Source: RNAcentral
GGCGACCGGCAAACGGGUGCGUAACGCGUAUGUAACCGACCUUUUACAGGGGGAUAAUCCGAAGAAAUUUGGUCUAAUAUCCCAUAACAUAAGACAAGGCAUCUUGUUUUAUUGAAAACUUCGGUGGUAAGAGAUGGACAUGCGUGACAUUAGUUAGUUGGUAAGGUAACGGCUUACCAAGACGAUGAUGUCUAGGGGAACUGAGAGGUUAAUCCCCCACACUGGUACUGAGACACGGACCAGACUCCUACGGGAGGCAGCAGUGAGGAAUAUUGGUCAAUGGAGGAAACUCUGAACCAGCCAUGCCGCGUGCAGGAAGACGGCUCUAUGAGUUGUAAACUGCUUUUGUACGAGGGUAAACCUUUCUACGUGUAGAGAGCUGAAAGUAUCGUACGAAUAAGGGUCGGCUAACUCCGUGCCAGCAGCCGCGGUAAUACGGAGGACCCGAGCGUUAUCCGGAUUUAUUGGGUUUAAAGGGUGCGUAGGUUGUUAUAUAAGUUAGAGGUGAAAUCCACAGGCUCAACCUGUGAUGUGCCUCUAAUACUGUGUAACUAGAGAGUGGAUGCAGCUGGCGGAAUGUGUGGUGUAGCGGUGAAAUGCUUAGAUAUCACACAGAACACCGAUUGCGAAGGCAGCUAGCUAAUCCAUAUCUGACACUGAGGCACGAAAGCGUGGGGGAUCAAACAGGAUUAGAUACCCUGGUAGUCCACGCAGUAAACGAUGAUAGCUCGUUGUGGGAUCGAUAGAUUCCGUGACCAAGGGAAACCGAUAAGCUAUCCACCUGGGGAGUACGUUCGCAAGAAUGAAACUCAAAGGAAUUGACGGGGGCCCGCACAAGCGGAGGAACAUGUGGUUUAAUUCGAUGAUACGCGAGGAACCUUACCCGGGCUUGAAAGUUAGUGACAGAAGUGGAAACACUUCCUUCUUCGGGACACGAAACUAGGUGCUGCAUGGUUGUCGUCAGCUCGUGCCGUGAGGUGUCGGGUUAAGUCCCAUAACGAGCGCAACCCCUACUGAUAGUUGCUAACAGGUUAAGCUGAGGACUCUAUCGGGACUGCCGGUGUAAGCCGAGAGGAAGGUGGGGAUGACGUCAAAUCAGCACGGCCCUUACGUCCGGGGCGACACACGUGUUACAAUGGUCGGUACAGAGGGCAGCUACCCCGCGAGGGGAUGCGAAUCUCGAAAGCCGAUCUCAGUUCGGAUUGGAGGCUGCAACUCGCCUCCAUGAAGUUGGAUUCGCUAGUAAUCGCGCAUCAGCCAUGGCGCGGUGAAUACGUUCCCGGGCC